RNAcentral lists this ribosomal RNA (254 nucleotides) under uncultured bacterium. Its description in RNAcentral is "partial 16S ribosomal RNA". It matches the Rfam family "Bacterial small subunit ribosomal RNA", at positions 524 to 776 of the family's 1533-position model. The record is from RNAcentral.
UACGUAGGGGGCAAGCGUUGUCCGGAUUUACUGGGCGUGAAGGGCGCGUAGGCGGUCAGCACAAGUCAGUUGUGAAAUCUCCGGGCUUAACUCGGAAAGGUCAACUGAUACUGUGCGACUAGAGUGCAGAAGGGGCAACUGGAAUUCUCGGUGUAGCGGUGAAAUGCGUAGAUAUCGAGAGGAACACCUGCGGCGAAGGCGGGUUGCUGGGCUGACACUGACGCUGAGGCGCGAAAGCCAGGGGAGCGAACGGG